ACUCAACGUUAAUUCUUUAAAAAGGGUGAGUUUAAGUUGUAAAAGCGAGCUGUCUUAGAACAGAUACUUGAUCAGCUUGUUAGCCCUAAACUUGUUUUUAAGGAGUUU
This 108-nucleotide small RNA is filed under the name Oceanihabitans sediminis. RNAcentral's name for it is "6S-Flavo RNA". It matches the Rfam family "6S-Flavo RNA". The record is from Rfam by way of RNAcentral. Lineage: Bacteria; Pseudomonadati; Bacteroidota; Flavobacteriia; Flavobacteriales; Flavobacteriaceae.